Molecule: ribosomal RNA, 585 nt
Filed under: uncultured bacterium
Lineage: Bacteria
Description: partial 16S ribosomal RNA
Rfam family: Bacterial small subunit ribosomal RNA
Source: RNAcentral
UGGGGAAUUUUGGACAAUGGGCGAAAGCCUGAUCCAGCAAUGCCGCGUGUGUGAAGAAGGCCUUCGGGUUGUAAAGCACUUUUGUCCGGAAAGAAAUCCUUGGCUCUAAUACAGUCGGGGGAUGACGGUACCGGAAGAAUAAGCACCGGCUAACUACGUGCCAGCAGCCGCGGUAAUACGUAGGGUGCAAGCGUUAAUCGGAAUUACUGGGCGUAAAGCGUGCGCAGGCGGUUUGCUAAGACCGAUGUGAAAUCCCCGGGCUCAACCUGGGAACUGCAUUGGUGACUGGCAGGCUAGAGUAUGGCAGAGGGGGGUAGAAUUCCACGUGUAGCAGUGAAAUGCGUAGAGAUGUGGAGGAAUACCGAUGGCGAAGGCAGCCCCCUGGGCCAAUACUGACGCUCAUGCACGAAAGCGUGGGGAGCAAACAGGAUUAGAUACCCUGGUAGUCCACGCCCUAAACGAUGUCAACUAGUUGUUGGGGAUUCAUUUCCUUAGUAACGUAGCUAACGCGUGAAGUUGACCGCCUGGGGAGUACGGUCGCAAGAUUAAAACUCAAAUGAAUUGACGGGAUCAUAGCUGUUUCCU